This 129-nucleotide ribosomal RNA is filed under the name Escherichia coli. Its description in RNAcentral is "partial 23S ribosomal RNA". It matches the Rfam family "Bacterial large subunit ribosomal RNA", at positions 2812 to 2925 of the family's 2925-position model. The record is from RNAcentral. Lineage: Bacteria; Pseudomonadati; Pseudomonadota; Gammaproteobacteria; Enterobacterales; Enterobacteriaceae.
CCUGACCCUUUAAGGGUCCUGAAGGAACGUUGAAGACGACGACGUUGAUAGGCCGGGUGUGUAAGCGCAGCGAUGCGUUGAGCUAACCGGUACUAAUGAACCGUGAGGCUUAACCUUACAACGCCGAAG